This 234-nucleotide unclassified non-coding RNA is filed under the name Lingula anatina. Its description in RNAcentral is "uncharacterized LOC106162298, transcript variant X4". The record is from RNAcentral. Lineage: Eukaryota; Metazoa; Brachiopoda; Lingulata; Lingulida; Lingulidae.
CCCAUUCUAGACUGGGGACGCGGACGUGACGUUUAUGUCAGUCGCUUCUGGCAGAGUGGUGCGUGUAGGGGGGGUGUAUAAAACAGAGGAUUGAGAGAGAAAGAGAAAGAAGACAGAAUAAGCGUGAGCUUUACCAGAACAUAAGAGAGUUGACCUUAAAUAAGAACUGAGAACAAGAAUUCAACCGGAGGUUUUACAAGAAAAAUGAUUUUCACUGAGCAGGAAUAAGAUUAC